RNAcentral lists this ribosomal RNA (460 nucleotides) under uncultured bacterium. Its description in RNAcentral is "partial 16S ribosomal RNA". It matches the Rfam family "Bacterial small subunit ribosomal RNA", at positions 338 to 795 of the family's 1533-position model. The record is from RNAcentral.
CCUACGGGUGGCAGCAGUGAGGAAUAUUGGUCAAUGGACGAGAGUCUGAACCAGCCAAGUAGCGUGAAGGAUGACUGCCCUAUGGGUUGUAAACUUCUUUUAUAUGGGAAUAAAAUGUUCCACGUGUGGGAUUUUGUAUGUACCAUAUGAGUAAGGAUCGGCUAACUCCGUGCCAGCCGCCGCGGUAAUACGGAGGAUCCGAGCGUUAUCCGGAUUUAUUGGGUUUAAAGGGAGCGUAGGUGGAUUGUUAAGUCAGUUGUGAAAGCUUGCGGCUCAACCGUAAAAUUGCAGUUGAAACUGGCAGUCUUGAGUACAGUAGAGGUGGGCGGAAUUCGUGGUGUAGCGGUGAAAUGCUUAGAUAUCACGAAGAACUCCGAUUGCGAAGGCAGCUCACUGGACUGCAACUGACACUGAGGCGCGAAAGUGUGGGUAUCAAACAGGAUUAGAUACCCCUGUAGUC